Molecule: ribosomal RNA, 141 nt
Filed under: uncultured bacterium
Lineage: Bacteria
Description: partial 16S rRNA
Rfam family: Bacterial small subunit ribosomal RNA
Source: RNAcentral
UGGGGAACUUUCCGCAAUGGGCGAAAGCCUGACGGAGCAAUGCCGCGUGGAGGUGGAAGGCCUACGGGUCGUCAACUUCUUUUCUCGGAGAAGAAACAAUGACGGUAUCUGAGGAAUAAGCAUCGGCUAACUCUGCGCCAG